Molecule: ribosomal RNA, 253 nt
Filed under: uncultured bacterium
Lineage: Bacteria
Description: partial 16S ribosomal RNA
Rfam family: Bacterial small subunit ribosomal RNA
Source: RNAcentral
UACGUAGGGCGCAAGCGUUGUCCGGAAUUAUUGGGCGUAAAGAGCUCGUAGGCGGCCUGUUGCGUCCGCUGUGAAAUCCCGGGGCUCAACCCCGGGCGUGCAGUGGAUACGGGCUGGCUGGAGGCAGGCAGGGGAGAACGGAAUUCCUGGUGUAGCGGUGAAAUGCGCAGAUAUCAGGAGGAACACCGGUGGCGAAGGCGGUUCUCUGGGCCGAUACUGACACUGAGGAGCGACAGCGUGGGGAUCAAACAGG